RNA transcript from Numida meleagris (helmeted guineafowl), 6097 nucleotides. It is a transcript of the gene named MAF bZIP transcription factor, with no coding region annotated. The record is from RefSeq and is a predicted model, not a curated record. NCBI's taxonomy places the organism in Eukaryota, Metazoa, Chordata, Aves, Galliformes, Numididae. The transcript has 5 exons.
AAAAAAAAAGAGAGAGAGAGAGAGAGAGAGAAAAAAUUUCCUCGCAACAACACCCGCGAACGCUUCCAGCUGCAGUUUGCGAGAGAGAAAGAGAGAGAAGGGAGGAAAGAGCCCUGCGUGCAGAAGGCGCAGAGCCCCUCGCUCUGAUGCAGCAGCGGCAGCGGAGGCUCUGCAGGGGAUAACGCGGAGCGGGCGGAGCGCGGCGCGGCGCGGCGGAGGAACGGACGGACGGACGGACGGGCGGACGGACGGACGGACGGACGGACAGCAAAGCUGGCUCACCCGGCGGCAGCGCAGAGCAGCGCCCUCGCUCCCGGAGCGCACCCUUUCUGGAGGACUGUCAGCAGCAAAAGGAUGGCAUCAGAACUGGCAAUGAGCGGCUCCGACCUGCCCACCAGUCCCCUGGCCAUGGAAUAUGUUAAUGACUUCGAUCUGAUGAAGUUUGAAGUGAAAAAGGAGCCGGUGGAGACCGAUCGCAUUAUCAGCCAGUGCGGCCGCUUGAUCGCCGGGGGAUCGCUCUCUUCCACCCCGAUGAGCACGCCCUGCAGCUCGGUUCCCCCGUCCCCCAGCUUCUCGGCGCCCAGCCCCGGCUCCGGCACCGACCAGAAGACCCACCUGGAAGACUACUACUGGAUGACGGGCUACCCGCAGCAGCUCAACCCCGAGGCGCUGGGCUUCAGCCCCGAGGACGCGGUGGAGGCGCUGAUCAACAGCAGCCACCACCCGCUGCCCGGCGCCUUCGAUGGCUAUGCUAGAGGGCAGCAGCUGGCCGCGGCCGCCGGCGGCUCGGUGCCGGCCGAGGAGAUGGGCUCGGCGGCCGCCGUGGUGUCGGCGGUGAUCGCCGCGGCGGCGGCGCAGGGCGGCGCGCCCCACUACCACCACCACCACCACCACCCGCACCACGGCGGCGGCGGCGGCGGCCUGCACUUCGACGACCGCUUCUCCGACGAGCAGCUGGUCACCAUGUCGGUGCGGGAGCUGAACCGGCAGCUGCGGGGCGUCAGCAAGGAAGAGGUGAUCCGGCUGAAGCAGAAGAGGAGGACCCUCAAAAACAGGGGCUAUGCCCAGUCCUGCCGCUUCAAGAGGGUCCAGCAGCGGCACGUCCUGGAGUCGGAGAAGAACCAGCUGCUGCAGCAAGUGGAGCACCUAAAGCAGGAGAUCUCCAGGCUGGUCCGGGAGAGGGACGCCUACAAGGAAAAGUACGAGAAGCUGGUCAGCAAUGGCUUCCGAGAAAACGGAUCCAGCAGCGACAACCCCUCCUCUCCAGAGUUUUUCAUCGCGUAGUGCAAAGUCCCCUCUCGCAGAGCAGCGCUGGCGGAGCGGUGAGGCUGGUUGAGGAGCUGACCUCGGUGAUAGGAAGGAGGGAGAUGGGCAAGGAUAGCGCUGUGCAGACCCAACGUUGCCACCCAUUAGACACCAGAUUUUUGCUACAGGCCUUAGAGAGCCCAGGGUGAGCCAAAGAGAAAGGAUUCAAAGGGCUUGCUCCAAGUUUUGCAGCCGGGCCCAGAGGUCAACGUGCUGGAAGCGCUGCGCUCCCCGAGCCCCUCUGCGCUCAGCUCCGUCUGUCAUCCCCGUGUCAUCCCUAUGUCAUCCCCAUGCCAGAGGGCGUUUGGGCUCCUCAGGCUGCUCAGCCCCUGCUGGCACAGGGCAGCCUUCCCGAGAGCCUCCACGGAGGCUGUGCUGGGCCGCUCCCACCCUCUGGAUGAGGUCUGUGCUACAGCCUCUCCGAAGAAUGCAGCAGCCCCUCCGGGACGAUGGCUCUAUCUCAAGACCCAGGCUCGGAAACACAGUUCUGUUUUAAUUUUUCCCCCUUUUCAUCCCCCCGCUUCCUACUGUUGGUCCAACUUCUUCCCAGCUUUACCACCAGAAUGAGAGCACCUAUUGGGUUCCACUGCCCCAGCGCCCGCCCUGCCCCGUGCAGCCCUGAGCCCCCCGAGCUGUGGGUCCCCUCUGCCAUCGGUUGGACCCAGUGCCACCACUGCGGUCCCCAGCAGCGAUGCUGCUCUGCGCCCCUCCCCAGCGCCCUUUGGCAUCUGACCUUCUGUUGCACCGGGGUUUGAGUAAUGGUUCAAGCUCCAGACUCUGGUUAAUUGGAGUUCCACUUUCUGGUUAAUGUGUAAGCUCUGGGUAAACUGGUUGCUAUUGGCUGAUGGGAGAAUUAUCUCCUCUCAUAAAGACAGGGGUUCUUUAUUUAUUCUUUAAUUCUUCUCCCAUCUCCCCUGGCUGAGCCCGUACUGACGCACAGAUUUAUUCGUAAGGGCGCUCAGCUCGGCCAUGUGGAGCUCCUCGAAGGGCUCCUGGAGGGCUCUGUAUGGGGAUGGGGUGAGGCCAGCGGGGCCCUGAGCCCCUGCGUGGGACCACUCCUGGUCCCCGUGCUGCUGCUGAACAGGGUUAGGGCAGGGUUAGGGUGUGAGAUAGGUGAGAGUCGGGGAGCAGCUAGAACAGCGAUAAGGGAAAUCCUUCCUAGAAAUAGACCGAGUGCAAAAGGGAAAAUUCCCAUUGCACGCCCAAGCUGAGAGGGAAGAGCUUUGCGUCUCUCCCAGUUUUGCAUAUUACUGCACGCUGCAAUCUUUCUUUGCAAAUAGGAAACAACGCAGCCUUCGCUGGACUGCGCGUGAGUUUCAGCCCCAAAUGCACCAACUUCCCAACGGGAGGGGAAAAGCAACCAGAAGCAGGCGGCGCUGCUGCUAGCACCGAGUGAGUGUUGGGGCUCUAUCAGUCAUGGCAGGGGAGCGCCCACCUCUGCUGCAGGACUGCUUGCCGAGGACACGCGGAGCCGCUCCGCUCUGAACAACGCUCAUUAAUCAGUGAAUCACCCCUCGCCGGGCUCCGGUUGCCGUCCUGCUCCCCUCGGGGUGCAGAACUGGGGCAGCCGGGUGCUGCCGUCCCGCGGGGUCCGCUCCCAUCGCAGCGCUGCCCCAUCUCGCAGCCCUGCGGUGCGUCCCCAUUCAGUCACCGCGCUACAAAGAACUUCCAUGUGACCGCUGCCGGGAGAUGCCCGCAGCCCCGUGCUGGCCGUAAGCGCUGCACACCCUCCCCCCUCCCCAACCCACCGCGUCCUCCACCUUUAUUUUAAUUAUUUUUCCUAAAACGGAGCAAACCCCUCUGCCCCCCAGCAUCCCCGUGCUCGCGCCUCAGUGUGUUCCCUGCCUGAAAAAAAGCAUCAUCCCGGAGCGCAUCCGAAAGAAGGGGUGGGGGGAGUUCUGCAAGCCCCUCGCCACUUCCCUUUGUCAGAAGGUCCUCUUUGCCCUUUCAGAGCUCAACAAUGUGUGUGCUGAAUCAGAACGCCACGCAGCACUACCCCCUGCGAAACGUGGCAGCAGAUUUGAAGCGCACAAAACGCGCUUUCCCAGCUCCUCUCCUUUCCGAAAGCCUCGGCGCAGCUGUUUCCCUCUGCUCAGUGUGUAGGAAGUUCUCGAUCGAGAAUCAUUCAUAAUUUUAAUACCAAUUUCUAUUUGACAUAAUAUACUAAUAUAAGACACAGAGUGUAGCUGCUUCCUGGAUUUAGGGAGGAAAUGAUGCAUAUAUCAGAAUUAUCUGCUCAGAUGCCAGAAGCACAUCGGUGUCCUUUCAGCAUGUGCUGCGUGGAGAGGAAAUCCUCUAUUUAUUGCUCCCAUCAUCAGAGGAGCUCAAUGGACCCUCUGUCUCUGACACCUGUUCCGACGGACGGAUUGAAAAUUUCACGCAGGAGAGGGGAAAAAAAAAGUGACACGCCACAGUGCUGGGAGCUCAGGUUUUUAGCAAACUUUCUUCCCUCGGUCUUUCAGAAUCACGGAGAUGGGGUUGUGAAGGGCCUGUCUGUUGCAGCUAUGGCGAGUGCCAUGCUUGCUUGGCCGGGACAAGACCCAGUCCUGCUUGCAGUGCCUCUGCUCCUGCUGGAAGCGUGCACUGCACACCGGGAUGCACAGAGCUGAGUGGCUUUUGGGGAGGGAGCCCUCGAGCGCUGUGUGAACACUGCUUAAAUGAUGAAUUCUGGGGAGCUCAGCAGAUAAAAAUCAAUGGAUUAAAGCCCCGCACACCUCGGCGCGUUUCAUUCUUGCCUGCCUGAAAUUGUGGGGGAGGACUGAGAAUAGCGUUUGUCACUCUUGGAGGGCGAAGAGCAUUCAGAUUGGUGAGCUCGAAGCCAGCACGGUGCAAAAAUAGCCCAGGAUGUGACUUAACUUUGCAAGUGCAAAGCAAAGGGCCGGGGCUCGGUGGGCCCUUUGUAGGGAUGGAGACAGCCCUGGCCCCAGCAGGGUCAGCCCGAGCUGGCACAGUGUGACAGCAUCUCAGUGCCCUGAUGCACUCGAUCUUACCGCUCUGAAACAAUCAUUUUCUUCCUACGUUGCUGUACCCACUUUUUUAAAAAGUGUAUUUUUGAUUUCUUUUUAUCCAAAGUCUCUCUUUUAAAUCAGUGCGCUGUGAUGCAGCAGAGGGGUGCCAGCCCUGUGGUCACGGUGUGGGGAUGGGGACAGGGACAAAACUGCCUCCCCCCUGUUCACACUGGAGCGCCGUGGAUGUGCUUUGCUUUGCUUUCUCCCCUGCAAUGCAAUGCAUGGAGGCAUUCGAAGCCAGAGCAGAAGUUCGCUGCAAGUGGUGCUUCUGCGCCGUGCAGAAGAAAAGUUUCCCAGCGAACAAACCGAGGGGUGUCUUUCGAUUUCCAGCAGGGCAGGGAACGCCGUGUCCCUGGUUCCCUCUCCCAGUGGCUGAUUCAGAAAGCACGGUCCUGAGAAGUUUUCUCAGCAGCAUUUCCACCUUCCCGGCAGAAAUGUCGGCGCUGCUCACGUUGGUGGUUACCUGUGCAUCCCGAGCAGCGAGCACAGGCACUCACACUUCUGCCCGACCUUUGGGGUCAGUGCUGUCACAGAUUGGAGCAGCUUGGAAGUCACCUGUGCAGGAGCGAGGUGUCUGUGCAACAGCAUCGCAUCCAUCCUGCUGCCCCCAUCACCUCCCAGGCUGCGGGGGCUGCUCUGUGGGGAGGAUGUGCCUUGCACACGUGCACACACACACACACACACACACACACACACGUGUUGGGGUGCUGCCCCAGCCCUGGGGUCCCACAGUGCCAUGCAGGGGGGGCUGGGAGGGCCAGGGCAGGGCGAGGGCUGGCUUCCUCUGUUUGUUUGUUUGCAUGUUUGUUUGUUUCUAAAUUGUUCCUGGAACAAAAGGGGACUCUGUGCGUAACUAAAGGAUCCAUCCCUGCAUCCCAGGCUUAGCCCCGGUGCGCACCCAGGCGGUUCCAGUUGGCUGACCCUCCCCUAGGUACCCGAGAGAAUCUUCUACAACGGUGAUGUGAAAAUCCCCGUUACCUGAGGUCAGAACAAAAGUCUCCCAGAAGACCUGGAGUGGUGACGUCUGGACCGAGAAGAGAUCACACUGCUUAUAAAACUGCACCAUGAGGAGGCCAAAAGUUUCUUCAGCAGCAGGAGGUAAGCCAGGACUGCUGGCGGGUAUGAGGACCGGAGAGCAAUGCUACAUACAUUCAAGAAGAAGAAAGUGGUGCUUUUGAGGAACAGAGACUUUGGGGCAGCAUCACAGUCCUCUAGAGAAAGCUCAAAGAGAUCUUCAGGUGAAAGCACACCACCCAGCCAGCUGCCUGUUGGGUUUAGCCCUUGGACGUCUGGGGUCUGCACACCAGAGACUGAGAACUCUUGACUUAUCCUAAUUUUCCUCUUUGUGGACUUCUGAUGUGACGGGAAUGGCACCAAAAAUUCAGUGUACCUGCUUUGCCAUAACUUUUCCAUACUGCUAACUUUCCCAGGACUACAUUCCUUUCAAAUUACGGGAACUUAAUUAUGUGAGGCUUAAUUUCAGUUGCUUGGCCAGCUUUAAAAAUAUAUAUUCAAAUUUGGACCUAAGGGGCAGAAUUUGGGGAGCCUCUCUGUCCUUUCACUUUGUGUUAGUGUAAAUGAAGAAACUAUGCCUGUGAAUCUCUGCUUUAUUACACCUCUUCCAAGUCAGUCUCACUUCUGCUGAGACUUCCCAGACUUUCAGCAAUCUAAGAGGGAGAAUGAACUACCCCUAAUAUUAUAGUCUAUGCUUCUGAAACAGUACAAACAAAAGAUAUGUCUCCUGCUUACACAUUUUCUUGUAAAUAAAAUGUGUUGAGACCAGA